UUUUUUUUUGGUCUUUUUUUUUUAAAAAAAAAGUUGUGAAAGAAAAAUAUAACUAGCCCUACUUGCUUCAUUUUUCACCCUUCUUUCCCAAGUAUCGGUCCGUCAAAUGACCUUUCUACCCUCAAAGAUGCAACAUGUAUCACAUAGGGAUGAUUGAAUGUUUUUUGGGCCACGGACCCAUUUUGACAAAAUUUGGAUAGGCUUCCUACAAAGGGACACGGUACCUGGGACCGAGCCCUGCUAGGUCUAAAUGACAUGAUGAAAAUAAAAAUGACCUAAAGGCUGACCUAAGUUUGGGGUUCACUAACAAGUCAAUUCGGGGGAGCGUAUGGUCGAUGGUGGCUGCUCAAGCUUUCCACCCACUCCAUACGUCCGGCGGCCCCCCUCCUAAAUUAAGGGUGACUCAACAAAGAGUUCGUGCACGCGACGCGUACUCCGGGACUUGUUGCAGAAAGAAGACUCAUGGUUAUCCAAAUGAUGACAGUUUAUAAAGCAUUAACUCAUUAAGAAAAGCGAUAAACAAGUAACCAACAAAACAAAAAAUAAAACAAACAAACUAAACAAACAAAGCAAAUAAAGAAAACAAACACCUCAACCGAAUAUCCUAAAAGCCAACAAGAUCAAGUAUCAGCUCGAACCUACAACUCCCCAGUAGAGUCGUCAGAGAUGUCACACUCCUUUUUUUAACCAAACUUCACUAACCCCUCUUAAAUAAAUAAAAGGAAUUUAUAAAGCUUGAAAAGGGUUUUUAAUUAAAAAGUGACGAAAUUUUGUGCAAAAGGAAAUUACUCAGAGUCGCCACCUGACAUUGAUUUCGGUGUGUCAGGUCACCGUAUUUUUUGAAAAUAAUUUUUUCUUUUAAAACACUUGGACUCUAAAACCAAGUCCGCGCCAGAGAUUCGGCUAAGGGGGUUCAUUUGACUCAGGGAGAAGGUGUUAGGCAUUCCCCAAGUCCUGUAACUAAUACGGUUGCGUACAUGAUCAAGUUGGCUUUUAGAAUGUUCGAAUUGAGGUAAAACACACAAAAAAAAUAAACAUCCAAAAGGUUCGAGGUCGUCCCUUCCUAAUAAAAGAAAAAUAAAACAAAAUAAAGAAAGUCUUCUUAACUUAUACUACGCCUCCAUUGAUGAUUCCACGACUCCAUUUACAUUUACUUCGCGGCAUUCCCCGAAUGAAUUUAUCUAAGGGACAACCUCUCACCUUACAUUCAAACAUUAUAAGUUAAACUAAACAUCCUGAGGCUUGCCUACCCAAAUGAUGACGGCCUAAGCAUGUUACUAGCGGGGAAGUGAAGAGUUAAUAAUAACUAAAUAGAAUUACUAAACUUUAAAUGUAUUUCCGUUUUCUUUCAAUUUUUAUUUUUUUCAAUUAUACGGCCUUUUAAUUCAAGCUUAACUAAUGAAAUAAUGAUGUAAUAUUUUCUUUUUAAACAAUACUCCACCCACACCCAUUUAUGUAAAACUUGAGCAAUUGAAUACCAAUUUAGUGAUCACAAAAUUAAAUCAAAUUACAGUUCCAUGUGUUCAAACCAACAGAUUCAAAACUAUAAACACUUAAACACGGAAGUAAGGCAAAACACAAGUAAUGGAAGAAGAUUAAAUCUAACUAAAAGUAAAUGAGAUAGUAGAACAGAAAGGAACCUGUUAAGAAAGUGUUCUUUAGUACCCGAAAAUUGAAAUAGCUUUGCCAAAGUGUAAAUCUGAAUGAAGGAGACAACAAUGAGACAAAUCCGAAACCACGAACCAAACUCUAACCGGCAACCCAAAAUCAGCAAACUCUACGAGCAGCAACAAAAUCGGCCAGAACCUCAGUUAGAAUUGAUGGAGUCGAAUGAAAGAUGACGAGCUAACUGGUUUCCGGCGAAGCUCGACUUCGAGCACAUCUUCAAUGUAAGAUUUCAGAGCUGAAAAAAUAGUGACCUUUUUAUGUGAGUUUCAGCUGGUACGUAGGAGAAACAAAUCGAGGGGUCGAUGGUUGUGGGUCGACUGAUUUUCAGUUCCAUUUUGAGAUGAAAAAAGGAUAGUUUUCGAGCUGGUUUUUAGGGGAUUUUCGGGUUAGUUUCCGCUGGUUCCCGUGAAGCUCGCCGGCAAUGGAACCCGGAUGUUUGAGAUCUAGAAACAGUUGGGAUGGGAGUGCUUUUGUGUGCGUUAGCUUCAAGAAAAUGAGACGAGGGGUCGUUCGUGUCAGCCCGGAGAGAGAGGAGGUCAGUUCGCCAGAGUUGAAGGGGUCGCCGACGGCUGGAGAUGGAGGAGUUAGCUGGUCGUGGAUGUGUGUGGAGUGGUCGCCGGCAGGUGAAGGUUGAUUCGGCAGCUGACUGUUCUUUUAGGGUUUUUUGUAUCUUUUUGUCUUGUGUUCAAGAAAAAGAUCUCAUGGGAUUCUUCUUAUGGUUUGUCCUGGAGAAGAAGAUGAAGGUCUGCUCCAUGUUUUGUGUAAUCUGUUGAAGAAGAUGAAGGUCUUCUCCAUGUGAAAUACGGUUGAACCCCUCCCUCUAGGUCUACGGUUUUUG
This 2506-nucleotide long non-coding RNA is filed under the name Nicotiana tabacum (common tobacco). RNAcentral's name for it is "long non-coding RNA (NTAB_LNC003457)". The record is from RNAcentral. Lineage: Eukaryota; Viridiplantae; Streptophyta; Magnoliopsida; Solanales; Solanaceae.